CGACCGCUGGCGGCAGGCCUACCACAUGCAAGUCGAGCGCGCCCUUCGGGGUGAGCGGCGGACGGGUGAGUAACGCGUGGGAACGUGCCCUUUUCUACGGAAUAGCCUCGGGAAACUGAGAGUAAUACCGUAUACGCCCUUUGGGGGAAAGAUUUAUCGGAAAAGGAUCGGCCCGCGUUGGAUUAGGUAGUUGGUGGGGUAAUGGCCUACCAAGCCGACGAUCCAUAGCUGGUUUGAGAGGAUGAUCAGCCACACUGGGACUGAGACACGGCCCAGACUCCUACGGGAGGCAGCAGUGGGGAAUCUUAGACAAUGGGGGCAACCCUGAUCUAGCCAUGCCGCGGGAGUGAUGAAGGCCUUAGGGUUGUAAAGCUCUUUCAGCUGGGAAGAUAAUGACGGUACCAGCAGAAGAAGCCCCGGCUAACUCCGU
Molecule: ribosomal RNA, 430 nt
Filed under: uncultured bacterium
Lineage: Bacteria
Description: partial 16S ribosomal RNA
Rfam family: Bacterial small subunit ribosomal RNA
Source: RNAcentral